Molecule: long non-coding RNA, 1677 nt
Filed under: Musa acuminata (dwarf banana)
Lineage: Eukaryota; Viridiplantae; Streptophyta; Magnoliopsida; Zingiberales; Musaceae
Description: long non-coding RNA (MACU_LNC003475)
Source: RNAcentral
UAUAUACUUAAUGCUUUUCACUUAUCAUUUGUUUCGACACAUAGACAGACCAUACACAUCAAGCACCAAUUGGUACAAUUCUACGUACGUGCAUUAUGGUCCGUCCACAGGCGUACAAGGCUGAGAUUAGUACGGUCCUAUGACUAACGGUAGCAUCUGUGUGUCCAUCCGGUGCGGGAAAGCCAUAGGCAUGGUGUAAUAAUUUUGCUGCCGGUCUGCGUGGGGCGAAGGCGUGAGGACAUGCACUUCCACGCACUCAUAUUUCCUGACCGCUUACGACGGAAAAUAAUGGCUGCCCACCACCCCGUAUCAUUCCCGGCGUGCAAAGCCUGCCUCUUUUUGACUCCCAGAAUUGGCCCUGGCAAUGCCACUGCUAAAGAAAGACCCAACCUUCAGCUGGAAUUUAAUAAGCACGCAAACAAAGGAAGAAAGAAAUGAACGAGAUAAAGCAGCAAAAUCAAAAAGCUUCUUCCCUCCCAUUCAAACGCAGCGGCGAUGGAGAUUUCUCGCUUUGCCCUUUUCCUCUUUCUCUUGCAUCGAUGCAUGCAGCAGAGAACCCACAAAAGAGAUGUUCGUAAGGAGAUGAGCAUCUAUCUAUAACACGUAAAGAAAUAUUUAGCCUCUUUGCCACUUGGGAUGCCUUGUCGAGGAGCAACCAGCAGUAAGCAGGAUUUCCUCUCCUAUAUAUAUAUAUUUCGUCGAGAGGACACAUGAAACCCAAACAUCAUAAUUAGCAUGUUGUAAUAACUGCAGUUCGUGAACGAGGAAGACAAAAACGAUUGAAUCGGGGUUUCGUGUACGUCGCUCAUAUAUUUUGGGAUUCGUUGGAGAUCAUGAAAACAACAUAAAGAGGAUUUGGGGACCCAUAUAAAGAGGAAAAGCUACGUGGAAGGUUCUCUGGGGCCGAGACGUUUGCUCUUGUUGAAACAGUAAUCAGUGUGAUUCCUCGAUGGGAUGGGACACCCGCGACAGUUUUCAUUUGGCAUCCUCCAAACUACACAUGUUGUUGGAUCAUAUCAAAGGACGUGGGUUUUCCGAGAGGUAUAAUAGCAUGCUUGAAUAAGGAAAGAUGGCAUGGUCUCUGUCGACAGCGAAAUGAUCCUCCAUCAUGCGUGGUAAAACAUGAACACGCUAUCCAGUGUGAGGACUAAUGAGAACCAGAGGCUAAUCAUCUUCUAUUUCUGACGAAAACCAAGUCUUGAAGAUAAUUACAGGUUCACGACGAUGAGGACAAAAAUUCACGGAUGUGGAUGACCAGACUCCUAAUCUUUUUCUUCAUCUACCUAGAAAAUGAAAUUACAAGUGGCUUCUCGACAAGUGCUUUCAGGAGGUACCAUCCUAGUCAGCGUAUAGGAUAAUAGAAUAGGACCAUUCUUGUUGUUAACCUUGAAUAAAAAUUAGGGAGGGGAAAAGAUCAAGAGGCUCUCAUCGAUUCCUAAAUGUUCUUUUUCCGAUUUGCAUACAGAAGAGAGGAGGACAGUUCUACAAGAUGUGUUACUUGAGAAACAUAAGAAAAGGAUGUGUAUAUAUAGCAAUUCCAGGUCACUCCACCUAACCUACGCGUGGGCAGACGAACUUAGGGUCGAUAGCCACAGAGCAAGCAGAGGAUUCGGCGCAGGCGACACGGCCCUGGAAACAGAGUACGUACCGCGGUGGUCGUCGUUAGCAAAUAUUAAC